Paramuricea clavata is the source of this 73-nucleotide non-coding RNA. The record is from the annotation of a GenBank genome assembly. Lineage: Eukaryota; Metazoa; Cnidaria; Anthozoa; Malacalcyonacea; Plexauridae.
GACCGAGUAGCUCAGUUGGAAGAGCAUUGGGCUAGUAUUCCAAAGGUCGUAGGUUCGAAUCCCACCGUGGCCG